UACCACCCUGAACGCACCCGAUUUCGUCUGAUCUCAGAAGCUAAGCAGGGUUGGGCCUGGUUAGUACUUGGAUGGGAGAAAUGUUAACAAAUAAAGAAUAACUCUCCUGAGAAAUGGAU
Molecule: ribosomal RNA, 119 nt
Organism: Microcebus murinus (gray mouse lemur)
Lineage: Eukaryota; Metazoa; Chordata; Mammalia; Primates; Cheirogaleidae
Source: Ensembl